CAGAAAGCUGUUAUUGAAACAACCCCAAAAUGGAGCCAUCUUGUUUUCAUAAAGUUUCCACUAUAAUUGAGUUUGAUAGUAAAACUAACCCAGGUUUUCCUUUUUUGUUUAGUCAUUCUUUGGAAUGCAAACCAAGGGCUAGGACUGUUGCUUCUAGUACAUUGGGAGAAGUGAACCCAUGAAUCAAGUAAAUCAGUUUAUUAUAAAUGGCUAAAACCUCCUGAAAUACUUUGUGAUGUGUGCUAGGUCAAGUCGAAAUCUCUCACAGAGGAAAAUACGAUAGCAAAGACGUCAGUCAUUUUGUAUUAAUGACCUUCUUUCUAACCAGUUCCUAAAAAAGAAAAGAGUAACCAUCUCUAUAACUAUGGAAUCUAGCAAGCAAACACCAUGAACUUACAUUGCCAGUGAGAAGACAUGAUGAACUCCAGCUCAGAAUCAUAUUGAAUCAGGUUCAAUUCAGGACAUAAAAUGAAAUGAAAAGCCCAAACUAAUUAGAUUGUAAUGAGCAGUUCAUAUGCCUUAUGUUGUUUUAUCACGUGCAGUAGGUGCUGUAUCCCUACAGUGAAUGACUUCAAGCAAUUCAUCAGCCUGUACUGUGUUCAAGAAUGCUAAUCAGAAGGAAAAGACUCUUUUUAUGACAUGCUUGAAGAAAGCAAGAUUGAUUGUAGCUUCUUGAUCAUAGCAGCGCCAGUGGAAUGGCUUUAUCUCUAUUAAACUUCACUUGCGUUUCUGGAAAGCAUAGAGUGUCCUAAUGAGACAGGCAGAAAUAAAGGAGUUCAUUAGUACAAGAUUGCUAAAGUUGAAAUGUCAUGUUACAAGUUGGAAGCUGAUAUUCCAAAGAUUAUUCAGAGUCUGGGUCUGAAACUCAAAUGUCAGUGACAGGUACCAUUUUGGAUUCCUCAGUCUGUGCUUCCUACAUCUCAGCUACCACAUUACUGUUCAGUAAAUUUUUAAUUCAGAGGCUCCAGAGGCCUUUAUUUAUAUCAUGAAAUAACUCAUAUUAAACAAGGAAGGAAGGAAGGAAGGAAGGAAAGAAGGAAGGAAGGAAGGAAGGAGAAAGGAAGGAAGGAGGAAAUCUACAAUUUGUCAUAAGGUCCAAAAGUGAUUUUCAUUGUACCAUGACUGAGCAGACCAGAUUAAACUAAUUAAAGAGAAACACAAAUUAACAAAAGUAAUUUCUUUUUUGUACACAAGUCAUUUGCCAGUUUGCUCUUGGUCUAUUACCUACCCUUUCCCUGCUUUGCUUAGUAUCUCGGGGAACUACAUUUUCCAGGCCCCUCUGCCAACUGGGUUUUGGUAGGUUUGGCCAAGGGGAGGCACUAGUAAAAUCCUGGGAGAAGAAAAUGAUGACAAAGUCACAAUAUACUUUUUUUCUGCUUUUAUUUUCACCUUGGCAAUGAUUCUAUCUUCUCUGUGAUUCUGGCUCCAUUAGAGAAGUUCCUCUCCCAGUGGUCUCAGGUCCAGUAGGAGAGUCCCCAUUUUGGUAGCUAGGUUAUAGUUUCCCAACGAUGGUCAUUAUCUUUAAACCAUGAAAACAAUACCUCUUCCUUGUGUCCUUCCAAUCCUUGGGGUAGUAGUGGUUUCCUACUGUUUCUAAUUUCUGGAUCACCUCACCAUCACUUUGCCAACAUUUCCAUCAUUUAUGUAACCAACCCCUGUAUUAAGUCACCUCUGUUUGAAAUACCUGGAGUGAUUUCUGUUUUCCUGCCUGAACCAUUACUAAGAUAGAUAGAUAGAAUGGUUUUAUUCAGAAAGUUUCUCCUCAGGAAUAACAUUCCCUUUGAAACUAUCCUCAUGAAAAAAAAUAUUAAAGGGAAGAAUAAAGGGGGAAAAAAGGAAGAAUUACUAAAAGAAAAGGCUUUACAUGAGGCUCUUUAUAUGACAAUUCUCCCACAAUACUACUAUUUAUUUGUGCAUCUGCUGCAAGUGACAAUUGCAGCCAUGUGACAAUUAGGAGUCCUUAAACAUUUGAAUGUCUGCACACUUCUAACCUUCUGCAGAUUUUCUCUAAAUAAUCUGUUUACAUUCUAUUUAACUACCACUUAAUUUGGUGCUAAAAUUAUGUUUUUCAUAUUCAUAUUCAACAUCAUAUCUCUGAUAUUUUUGAUGCAACACAUUCUAAAUUUCAUUAGCAGUAUCUUGGUAGAAUAAAAUGAUUGUGGAAUAAAUUUCAAAAUCAAAAAUGAAAGAUUUCAUGACUAUCUGAGUUGCAAGAUAUAUUUUGGGUAGGAAAAGAAAGACAAUAGCCAUCCCCCCUCCAAUUUUUUCCCAGCCCAUCUCCUAUUAGGAAAACUUGAACCAAUAAGAGAAGUCUUAUUUGUGAAUUAAAAAGAAGAAAACUGGGUAAAUGUUUAUUCUAUCCCAAUUGCUCCUUCCUAAUAGUGAAUAUUUACAUUUCCACAUUGUUGGAAUUUUCUCACACUGAUUUGGCAAGUAUAAACUAUCCUUGCCCUCCAGAAUCCCAGGUUCCGUAUAUAACACAGCAGUAGUUGCAUUUUUCAAGAGCUUGCAGUCUCAUUAUUAACAACUAAUACUAGUUUUAUACACAAAUACUCUGACUUUCUAUUACUGUGGUUACUUUACGUUUACAUUAAAUUAUAUUCAUUCAGGAAGUCCUUCAUUGCUUGCUGAUACCAAAGUUAUCAGAGCUAGUCCCAAAAGCCAAUUUUGAAAUUCUCUCACCAAAAUUCAUUAAUACAUCAGAAGUGCCCAAUAGAGGGCUAUCAUGGCAAACUGCCAUGGUUUUUAGUAGUGAAAAUAGAGGCAUCUUAUUUAAUAUGGAGGGUUGGCCAACAAACCAUGGCUACCAGCAAACAAUGAGCCAUCUGACCCUGACCCUAUCUUGAUAAUAAGCCUGGUAAGCUCCAUGAUUAGCCUUUCCUAGCUUGACUUCUUCUUAUCACCUCUUUACUCCAACAUAUUAUAAAUGCCCAAAUAACCUUUUGAAUUUAAACCAUGCCUUAAAAGAUCAACCAGAGGUGAUGGGCUUGAUCCACAGGAAUUUUCCCUGGGGCUAGAAAGAUCCAAGAAAGAUUAGAACCAUUUUCAAUAAAAGCCUCAGCCUCAAAGAAACAGAGAGAUUUGAUUAGCAGUCCAGUGCCUUUCCUCUGAAAGGGGGUGUUUUAGUUUGCUUAGGCUGCCAUACCAAAAUACUACAGACUGGUUGACUUAAACAGCAGAAAUUUAUUUUCUCACAGUUUUGGGAGCUAGAAGUCCAAGAUCAAGGUAAUAGCAGGGUUAAUUUCUUCUGAGGCCUCAUUCUUUGGAGUGCAGACGGCCACCUUCUUACUUUGUCCUCACAUGGUCUUUUCUCUGUGCACAAAUAUCCUUGGUGUUUCUCUGUGUUUCCAAAUUUCCUGUUCUUAUUAGGAGGCCUGUCAUAUUGGAUUAGAGCCCACCCAGAAGAAUCCUGUUUUGACAUAAUUAACUCUUUAAAGGCCCUGCCUCUGAAUCAGUUACAUUCUGUAGUAAUAGGAAUUAGGGCUUCAACACAUGAAUUGGGUGGGAGACACAAUUUAGCCAAUAACAAUGAGACUGGAGAAAUUUGUCUUUGUUGUCUCUAUACUUUUCUUUCUGCAAACUAUUCUUCCCUUAGUGGGGUCACUCACCGAAUGUCCUCAUUCUCUUUGGUUCUGCCAAAAUUCCUUAGAAUGGGGCUUGAAAAUCUCAUGUUGCACUAUGACCUAAAUGACAACUAAGUCUUAUGUAUUAACUUUUCAAGUAUGUUUGUUUUGAAAUAGGGGUUGGACAUUAAUCAAAAAGAAUAAAAUUGCAUUUGUGAAAUUGCAGUCCCUAGCAAGCCAAACCAAGGUGAUAUUUUGUGCCUUUCCAGAGCCUUUGAAAUCACAUAACAUCUGGAGCCAUCUCAGUCACUUACUUGUAAAGUCAGCUUUGGUCCUUGGCCUCCUGUACUAACUACCAUGAUUAUCAUUCAAGCCUACCUAACAUUUUCUUUAUUAUUGUGCAUUUACUGAGUGUCAGUGGGAUGCUACAUCUAAGGAAGCUGCUAAAAGUUGGUAAGUAGUGCUUGAAUACAAAUCUCCAACCCAGAGCUGCUAGAAAUUAUGUUUAUGAUUCAAUAAAUGGGUUUUUUUGACUAUUGCCCAAACUGUGCCCCAGCAUGACCUGGGUGGACUAAUCCUGCUGGGGGUACUAUUUUUGGAUGUCAUAAAUCUAAGCUUCUGGCUAUUUCUAGUCAUUAAACAUCCCAAGGAACUUUUCAUAACACUAGGGUUUUUAAUCCCCAGCUUCUGGCCAAAUUCCAACUGGAAUAAUUACAUUCUGCUUACUGUACCUAAAUUCUCAUAUGGAAGUUUGAGAGACUUUUAUUGUAUCAUCUCCAUAAUUAAACUGUAAUCUAUAGAGUGUGCUGUAUAGUUUCUAACAUGGGAGAAUGCAUGCAUUAUAUAAUUCUAUAAGUUGUAUUUCUGAUCAAAGUCAAUUCAGCCAUUACAUUUCUUCAGGCUCUUUGUAAUAAUUUUAAAGCCAAAGUACAGCCGAUAAGUACUCAAUUUUAUGUUGUCUUAAAUCACAGGGAGUAGAACCCAAGAGUUCACCAUAAGAGUUUUUAUCCUAACAACAGGAAAAUAGAGCCUCUUUGCCUGAAUUUCAUUAUUGUUCACAUGGUUGUUUGGGAAUUCAGUUUCAACUUAAAAACACACAAAAUGUUACAGGCAACUUGAAUUCAUUAGGUUCUUUUGAUUAUAUGGGAAGUUAAGAAGAAUGAAAGCCUGGUCUUCCAGUAUGCCAUACCCACAUGAGUAAAUUUCCAGUUUACAGUUAUAGAGGAAAAAGAAUACCAAUUUUUCAAAGGUCUGGUCACCUCACAUUCAAAAGAUAAACAAAAUGAUCUCACGGAGGAGUUCCUAAAACCUAAAAGGUUUUUAAAUGGACUAAAAGUAGCAGCUGCUCUUGCCAGAGGUGGGUCUGGCAGGCACGUAGUCGCAAGGUCAAAGCACGGGAUGGAGAACCAGAAGCACUGGCACCAGAUAAGGGUGGCAGUAGAGGGCACUGCAAUAGAGACUAAUAGCUUUUACCAGGCUCAGUUUCAUGGAUGAAAAGAACUCAACUUGUCCCCAUAAAACAGUAACAGGAGAUGCAGUGGAAUCAGACAGGAGGGCUUUUGUUGUCAUUACUAUUCAAGUGGCCCGGGAUCUCUUGGAUGGAAUGGGCAGAUAACUGAUCCUUUUCAAUUAAGGGAUAGGAAAUGUUUUUGCAAAAUAUCUACACUUAUAUUCUCAUUGUGAUUUCUAUUCAGAUGACUUCAGGAGGUUCAUGUGUCUGAUCGGUUGUCCCAGGUGGGGUCUGCAUCUACAUUGUCCCACCAGGACUGAGCCACCAAACCAGUGGAAGAAUCCCCCUGGGACAGAAUGUAACGGUGUCUCUUUGUAAUCCUUUUCAACUCUUACAUGAAGAACACCGAACUUACAUAUCAACCUGCAACCUUUUACCACAUGUGGAGCUUUGAUUCUCUUGUCUCACAUACGGGGACACUGGGACACAGAAAUUCUGGAGUCUUGAAAUCCGGUUCAUUUACAAGUAGAUUUUUCUCCUACUAAAUUUUGUUUUAUUACUAUCAAAAUAGCAUUUCUAUCUGACUAGACAGAACUCCAAAUAAAACAGAUCUUCAAAUACUGAUUGAACAGAUUGCCUUCUGGUCAAUAAGAUAGUAAAUAGCAUGUCUUACCAAAUUCAGAUGUAAAAGAGACUUGAUGUAAACAGAGAUGACACUAAAAAUAGAGAUACAAAACUUUAAAGAACCAGUAUAUAUUUGGUAUUUUAUUGUACAUUUAAUUUGAAGAAUUUUCACCCCUUCUCAAGAAAAUAGAACGAACUGGAAAACCGUGGAAAUGUAUUUGGUGAAAGCCUAAGAGCUACACUCUCAUUUAAGCUGUUUCCACAUUUUCCCCUCUUCAAAUUUCGAAGCACUGUCUUUAAAAUUGUUACAUACCCAGAAGGGCUGGCAGAAUUAGGACUGGAAUAAAAUAAGAUAUGAUUUGUAAAAUCGUAAAAUCAUCUUCAUAUAUUUGAAUAAGGUACGCUUCCCCCUCUCAAACUUACUCUGUAAAAUGGCUCUUAGAGCAGUUGUUAACACCAUAGUGUGAAUAUAAGGCAAUGUGCUAUCUCUCUCAGUAAUAUUUGCAUUUUGGAUCUCAUUUCUAAUUGUGGAAUGAAAUAAUCUGUUCCAGAUAAAAGAAUUUUAAGUUUAAGCCCAGAAAUUAUUUUUGAGCUCUACUUGAUCACCUUUUUUUGGUAGCUUGAAGGGAAAACUCGCAGAAAGUAGUUUUUCUUGAGAGAAUAUUCUCUUCCUGCCAAUUUUGCUUUACAAAACUACAUUGUUUUACAUUAUGUAUGUUAAUCAAUGCACUUGGAGACUGUAGGGAGCUGGAAGGACUUAGAGCUGGAAGGACUUUAAAGUUUAUCUAAUCCAAUCCCCUCAUCCAGAGCUUUUAAAAUAAUAAAUCUACAGCUGUCUUUAAACUAAUCUUUGAUACAAAUAACUCACUGUUUCAUAAUGGUCUCUCUCUAGAUGAAUCUCCAUCAGUGACACGAUUAGCAAGUGUCUCUAGUGUAUGCACAAGCCCAGAGACACAACCCUUGAGGUGAUGCUGCGGAACCGCCCGAAUGGAUUUUGUGCUGUGAGUAGUUUUCUACAGUAUGGUGAUAGAUUUGCUUUAACCAAUGUGUGAGCUCUAAUCUCAUCUCCUUAUUGGCCAGUAGUAAACACAAGUGCCACACCAAGCUGUGGUCAAAGAUGAAACGGACCCUUGAAAGAGAGAAGUUGACAAGGCCACAUGGGGCAAAGCUCCUGCUCUGAGCUUCAUUAGCACAGGGCUCUAACCAAGAAGCUAACCAGCCACAGAGACAUAUAAAUAGACACACACCCAUUUUAAGAUGAAAUCGCUUAACCGUCACUGGCCCACUUUUCAGCAAAUGAAUGUUAGCGCAUUAUCAAGUUUCCAAGCAAUUAUUCAAAUCAUUAGAAUGUACUAAAUUUCUCUUUUUCUGUUACUAAAGAGUGUGUUGAGUUGUUGACUGGUGAUAUGAAUGAGCAACCUAAGGAGUGGGGUGGAAUUUAUUCUUAUUAUUAAUAACAGACUUCACGUAGGCCCUGGCACGAUCUACAAGGCUUAACGCUCCAAAGCUAGAGAUCACAAGUUACCCAUGACAUGAUGGAAUUUGUUUUUUAAUGAGUGUAUUUCAUCUUAACUCAUGUUGUCAUGUGGAGCCAUGAUGUCACCUAAAUGUAGUAAGCCAUAAAAGGUGCCAUAUUCUCCUACUAAAAUAUUAUUAGCAUUUUACUAGGCUCCUGUAUCCUAUAAUAAGAGGCAAAGAGAGAAUCCAGAUUUCUACAUUUCUCUUUUGCUAUGAUAGAAAUGAGCUUAGCAUGCUUUCAAGAAAAGACUACAAUUGCAUGGUUCUAUAACAAAGGCAAUAUUAUUCAGGGUUUUGAAUGAAGGAACUCUGAAAAUAAAAUACAAACAACACAUAAAUAUGUGACUCUUAAAAAGCUAAAAGUUCAUCUACAUUAGGGGUGCCUGGCUGGCUCAGUCAGUAGUGCAUGCAACUCUUGAUCUCAAGAUUGUGAGUUUGAGCCCCACGUUGGGUGAAGCGAUUACUUAAGAAAGCAAGAUCUGGGGUGCUUGGGUGGCUCAGUCAGUUGAGCGACCGACUUUGGCUCAGGUCAUGAUCUCGCGGUCUGUGAGUUUGAGCCCUGUGUCGGGCUCUGUCCUGACAGCUCAGAGCUUGGAUCCUGCUUCUGAUUCUGUGUCUCCCUCUCUCUAUGCCCCUCUCCCGCUCAUGCUCUGUCUCUCUCUGUCUCAGAAAUAAAUAAACAUUAAAAAAAUGGUAAAAAAAAAAAAAAAGAAAACAAACUUUUUUAAAAAAAUUAUCUAUGUUAUCUAUAAAUCACAUGUGUUGAGUAUGAACAUAUCUUAAAGACGUACACAUAAGAUCAUCCUCAACUCUUAGGACACUAAUAUCCUAAACUUGUCAUUGUUGUUUUCAAUUAAGGCAUAUUUGCCUAAGAAGUACAUAUUAAGCAAUAUCACACAUAACAAAGAAAAACAUACCAGUAGUUUGCCAGAAGUUCAGAGGUCCAUAGCCAUUUCAUGAGAUCUGAUCCAAAGCCAUUCCCAAACAGGGCACUGUGUCAUUUGAGGAAGGUAGGACCACCAAGACCUUAAGUAAGUUUCAAGUCCACAGAAAAAUGACCCAGAUCAUCCCUGCAAUACAUCUUCCCAGGAUAUCCAUUCUGGAGGAUAAUUCUUUCGCUGUAGAAGAUUAUGCUGUAAGUCACAGGUGAGAGCAGGCAUCAUAACGUAGGACUUCAUGUAACCAGAGGGUCUAAACACAAUUUUACGUGUAUGAAGAGCUUGACAAAAUUUGUUUAUUUAAGAAUGUUUCAUGUUUGGGGUGCCUGGAUGGCUCAGUAGGUUAAGCAUCUGACUCUUGAUUUUGGCUCAGGUCAGGAUCUCACUGUUGUGGGAUCGAGCCCUGCAUCUGGGUCCUCACUGAGCAUGGAAUCUGCUUAAGAUUCUCUCUCUCUCUCUCUCUCUCUCUCUCUCUCUCAUAAAUAAAUAAAUAAAUUUUUUUAAAAAGUUUCAGGUUUAACAACUUAGUUGUCAGUAUCACCAUCUUUAUUCAUUUUUAUUACAAAUGCACCAAGAACUCAGCAGGAGCUGAUCUUAUGGAACUUGAUUAGCUUCCUGAGUCUAGAAAUAGAAUGAGUCAUACAGCAAGUAAGCUUAGAAACAAAACACAUAUCUAUUUGGACUAGUAUGCUAAAUUUGGUAAUGGUUAAUUCAAUCCAUUCUAAGUAUAAGCUGGGGUAAAGAGAUAAAUUCAACAGGUGUGAAAAAGAUGGACUAAGGCAACUCAAUAGCAUUUGAGGUCUCUUAAGUUCAUUUCUACCAAAGCAGCUUCACUAUUUAUAACUAUUGGAUAUAAGAUUACUCCCUAGAUCCAAAAGGAGUGACUUUAGGAGGAAAUAGGACAAUAUGGGGUGCCUGGGUGGCUCAGUCAGUUGGGCGUCAGACUUGAUUUCAGCUCCGGUCAUGAUCCCAAGGUCAUGGGAUGAAGCCGUGUGUCGGGAUCCUCACUAAGCAUGGAACUUGCAUAAGAUUAUCAAUCUCAUUCUCUCUCUCUCCCUCUGCCCUCCUCCCCCAGUCAUGCUCUGUCUCUAUGAUUAAAAUUAAAUAAAAUUAGAAAAAAAAAUACUAACAUCUAUUAAUUCAGAUAACUAAAAUCUAACUGCUGUGCAAAAUAUAUUGGUUAAUUUGUUUCCCAUGCCCAAUUUUAGGUGAAAUUGUUGUGUUCAUUUUUCCUUGCAUAAGAAAUAGCAUUAGGUUAUUUUGUGCAUAAGGAUGUCCAGUGAUCCAACCAGUAAUGAAAAGACCAUUGGCCAAAAAGGAACGAAUAAAGUUCUUCUAAUUUUUUUAGGAGUUGCAUUGAGAUGGUUGCUAUACCUGAUGGAUCAUGAGUGGAGUCAAGAGCAGUGACCAGAUCAAAGUCAGAACAGCUAAGCUGAAAUAUUCUCUCAAGUCAGAGCCUGCCCUACUUUGAGUGGAGGUUUUCUUGAAAUCAAAAUGGCUGGAUGAGAAAGGCAUACUUCAUAGCUUCCAGUGUUCAAUCCCAGAAAUACCCAAACUUUUUAAAAAGGAAUAUUUUCAGGCUAAUGGAAUGAUAAAGGCCUUAUAUGCAGAGAGAAGAAGAUGGGUUUCGAAAUUCAAGGACAAAUUAAAUCUAAAAAUAGAAAAAUGUAAUUUUUUUAGUGUUUCCCUUAAAUAAACACAUGAAUGGAUGUAAUGUAAUGAAUAUAGCGUAUGCCAGCAAUAGUGAUAAUACCAAAGAGAUUUAACGACUAAUUUUGUAAGACUUAUUUGGCUAUUUCAUUUGUGCAAACACUAUCUUUUAGCACCCUUCAUCCUCUGUGUUGUGGUUUAUUGUACAACUAAAACUUCCAUGCCAUGAUACUAGCCAAGAGGAUCUGGAAUAGAAGUGUUAGUAGACCCCUCUGGCUAAAUUGGAGAUAGGUGCAAUGCCAUUGAAUGAUGUGCACAUGAUUUUGCAGAAGUAACACCAGCACCAGGCAUUUGCAAAUGUGCCAAAUUCUCCAAAACUUCUACACAGGGAAAAUGUUUAAGGAUAGAAAUAGAAAACUAUGCUUUAAACUAAAAGCAGCCUUGCAAGUAAUUACAUGCCUACUUGCUCAGGGUGAUAAAUUACACUUGCUCAUGCUUUUUAUACUUUUUCUAUGACUUAUGAGAAGGUUAUAGGUAAUCUUUUUCUUUCCAUUGAUACUAGUAAAGUUGCAUCCAGUCCAUACAUGUUAGUCUGGAAUAAAACAACUUUCAGUGUGAUCUGGAGCCAAGACAGGUGGCGAGCGAUCGCAGGAGCUAAGAUGUUAGACUGAAAAAUGGGGGGCGGGGAAAGGCAGUGGAGUAGAGAAUCACUGAAGACCAGUUCAUGCAAGUGGUAGUGCAGCUGUGCGGAAUAAAAUUCAACUGUGAUCAAAAUUGCAGUUGACAACCUGAAGACAAAUGGAAGGCCAAGAGACAGACAGCUCAUUGAGAAAGCUUGGCACCCACGAGUUUAGCCAGAGCACCAUGCAAGGAAAAUAGAAUGCAGAUGGAGAGAAAAGUAGCUGAGAUAUGGUAAGAGAAGGGACUGUAAACAUCAAGUCCACCAGUUGAAACCCAAGGCAUUGUCAUGGUCAGGAGGCUGUUUCUGCUGGGUUCAGAAGUGGUCCUCUGGGAAUCAGGCAAGUUUCCUACCAUCCUCAUUAUGAACAUGACUUUCUCCCAUAGCUACACGAUUCACAUGCCAGUGACCAUCUUUUCACUACCUUCCCAGGUAAAUUGCAUUUGCUCCAAAACUACCCUCUAAUCUACUCAUCCAAGUCCAGAGGUCUUUUGUGGCCAGCUGUUCUCUCAUAGUCACCAUGGCACCAUCACUCUCCUAAGCAAAGAAUCAUUUUUGAUAAAUCACCCAAAUAUGAAUUCUGUUGAUAUUUUUCCUGGGAAGAGUGUCUUCCAUUGCUUCCUCUACCCUAGUGCAUACCUUGAUUUUGUCUAGCCUUGGCCUAGCAAAGGGUGUCCACUGUGUCUCUUGUUCUUAUAUAAAGUUAUUCCAAUGACUUCUUAAAAGGUUUCUCUAAGUUUUAGAAUCUUAAGAUUUAAAGAUGUGUUUAUGGACAGCUAGUAUGACAUCCCUCUCCUGUAGGAAAUCCUUCUAAAGAAAUCUUGGUUAAUCAGACUCAAUCUUUACUGUCCACCAUAGGAGAAGUCUUGCUUAAAAAUUCUUUUUAUAAUAUUGAUUCACAAAUAGUUCUAUUUGUCCUACUUCUAUUCGUUGGAGAAAUAUAUACAGCAACUCUUCUUUAUGACAGAUGAGAGUCUUUCUUUAAUCUUUUCUUUCUACGGGUUAAAUUACCCUGGUUCCUCCUUGCAUUUAACUUGCAAGGUAAUUUCUACAAAUUUCACCAUCCUAGCCAUCUUUUUUGCAUGUACUCUAGUCUGCCAAUGCCCCUCUUCAAAUGGGGAACCCAGACAUGAUAUGCUAAUAGAGACCAAGCAAUAUUGAGAAUCAAGGGAUCAUAAUUUCCCACAAAAAUAGAUAUUUUUAAAAUCUGUGCAGCCUAAUCUUGCUAGUUUUCUAAUAGAGGCAUUAUACUCUCAACUCAUAUUGAGUGUAUUAUCAACUAAUUUCCUCAACUCUUUUUAUUUCCUAUAUGGUCAAUACCUAUUAUUUUUUUAUCUUCCAAAGAUAACCACAUGGAUAAAGAAGGAUUAUGACUUGAUGUUCAAAUAUGACCCAAAGAACAAUGCAAAAUCAAUAGAUAGACCUGUGCUGCACCCAAAUUUAAUUAAUGACAGUUUUCCUUUACCAAAGAAUUUCAGAUAUCAUUUUUUCAGUUUAUUUCCAUCUCAGUGGGGCAGAGACAACUCAGGGGGCAGGGGAGAGGUAGAAUGGCAUGAACACAGUUCAGGUGAUAGGGACGGAUCCAACAAAUGGCAAGAUUUUUCACCUGGAUAAAACAAUUCAUAAGGUUUAGUAGGAAAUACCUGGAAAGAUAAACUUGGAUGAUAUUACAGGACAUUUAAAAAACAGACAGUGGCAUUUUGUUUUUAUUCAGUAGGCACUGGGGAAAAUUUAAUGAUAUUUGAGCAAGUCAGUGACAUAAUAAGAUAAACUACUAGUAUUCAUACAACAGAUAACAUAAAGUAAUUCUUGCAGAUAGCAUCUCAUUUAAUCAGAACCCUGCCCUAGAAAUAGUAUUUCUACAGUGACAGGAAAGGUAGAGUCAAAACCAGCAAAAGCCACGUGAGCUAAUGUGUGGGUUUCAAUGAAGAAAUAAUGAAAUCUUUAACCAGAAUAGUGAUGUCUAGAAUAAAAGAAAAGAAAGCCAAGAUGCACUUGACAAUGAAGAAGUACCUAGAUCUGGUAACUGAUUGGAUGUGGAAGCAACAAAGUAAAAGAAAUCAAUCAUGACCAUACAAUUUUAAUCUUAAUAACUAGGAGAAUGGUAGUCCUCUUAAUAAUAGUAGGAGGGGAACAGCAAAAGAAGCUGGAACAUUUUUUAUGGUGUUGGAAAAUGAUAUACUAUUUCUGGAUAUAUUAACAUGAAUGUGUCCUCGGACAUCUAAUUAAAAAGGUUCCAGAGCAGAGAGUUGUAUGUGUGUCACUUUGCGACCAUAUUGAGAUUAGAGGUAUUAAAGAUAGAAUAUCUAAAUGAAGUUAUAGAAAUAAAUGAGAAUUCCAAAGGAGAAAUGGUAAAAAGAGAAGGGAAAAGUAGUAAGAAGGACUUCCAAAAAGGAAUAAGAGCACCAUCAGCAAAAUAGGAAGUGAGCUCACAUUGAGUUGCUAUUACAGACAAUAAAGGAUGGAAGACGGGCGCAGUGUGUGGGCGCAAGCAGGAGGAUUUCAUGUUGCAAAGAAUCUGAAAAUGAUACAGCUCCAGAAGAUUCUGGAAUCUACGAUUCGACUUCGCCCUGCCACUAGGACAGAUCUGUUUGCUGUGCGGGGAGAAAGUUCACUGGAGCAACAGAAUACUGGUGUGGUUUAGAGAGGCAGUUAGCUCUGUUCAGAAUUAAGUGCCCUGCUGGAGAAUCCAAAAACCAGUGAUAAUGAGAUAUCCAAAAGGUAGAGAUAUUGGAGGCACAUGCCAGGGGCAUUCAUCUCUCAGGGUUUAGGAGAAUGUUCAUGAUUAGGCUACAGUACAGAGGUGGGCUCUACUCCCUGGGGGACAAUGGCAGUAAAAGGUGAGCUCCCAAUACUGGAGGACAUGAGAUUCUACACAGAUUCUAAAACGUUGAUUCUAGUACAAGAAAGAAAAUGAAGAGUCAGAAAUUGGGCAAUUAUUAUCAGAAUUUUUAAUUCAAGUCAAGGCUAAAAGAGAGGCAUGAGUUACAAAUUGCUUAGUUGGGACUAGUCCAAUAGGCUAGAAAUCUAUAUUUCUGCCUAUGCUUAGGAUGGCCUCUGGAAUCCAAAGCAAGUUCAAACCUUCAGAGACUUCCAGGGGCCACAAUUAUGAACACCUUUCAGAUUGCAGGGACUGAAUUUGACAAUGAAAUGCAUAGGGAUGUCUUUAGGAAUAAUAGCUUCAACCAGGAUGUAUGGUAGCUGGUAUGAAAGUCAAAAUUGCAAGGAAUAAAGGAACAAGUGAGUGAAAAAGAAUGUAAUGCAGGGAAAUAACUAACUCCGAUGGGAGUUGGUACCAUAAGAGAGAAGGAGCAGGGAGAGGGAGAAGAGAGAGAGAAGACAGAAGUUGAGAAAGUAGUAAGGUCCAGAGAAAGCUUUCUGUUCGUAUGUCUAGGUGAGAAAAUCUAAAACAUCUAUAAACAGAAAGAAGGAGCCAAUGGAAAGAGCCAAUGUAAUGCUAUUCAUGAAAUUGUAGGAUCUCGAAGUGGAAGAGAAGGGAAUGAGGGCACACAAAGUGUCUAGGCAAAGAGCCCAUGUGAAGCUGCCUCCUCUGAGAAGAGUCCCAGGGCAAUGAGAGUACUAGACAAGAGUCCAAAGGCCUGCGUGGUAGUCCUAGUGCUGCCCUCAGUUCACCAUGCUAGCUAGCCCUCUCUCUGAGCCUCUGUUUGCUCAGGAAUAGAGAAGGUGGCCUAGAUCCUUCUGGCUCAUAGGUGAUCAAGAACAGGUAGAACAUAAAGACAUGAAGGGGGAGAAGAAGGACAAAGAGAAAGAUCUGAGUGGCCCCAGUGUUCUCAGGAAAUGAGGAAGCAGCAUACCCCGAUGAUGGUGACGGUGGGGUCACAGAAUGCAAAUCAGCUGAAGGAACACCAGAGUGUAGAAAGGCGAUGCUUGGCACAGCGGCGAAAACCUUGGCAGGCAGGCCAGUUCUGUAUUCUGGCUCAGCCACCUGUAAACUGUGGGAUGUUGGACAAACUACGUAAUGUCUCUAAACCUGCCUCUUCAUCUAUAAAAUGAGGACCAUGGUUCCCUUGUGAUGGGCAUAAACUAUAGGAUUAGUGAAGCAAUUCGACAAGAUAUAUACAUAUAGCGCUUACUAUAUUGCCAGGCUUGUAAGUGUGCUCAAACAAGCUCAAUACAGUUGAAAUAAAUAAGAGGACACAACUGAGGGGAAAUAAUAGAAAAUUCAUAGUGACUUCCAACCACUAGAGUUUCACAACAUUCUCCUGUACUGUCAUCUUGAAGUGAGAGAAGGUAAAGCAAUUAAUGAAAAGGAUUCAUAGUAUAGUGGAAGCAGAGGGAGAAGUUACAGCGUCUGGAGGCUGUCUUCCAGAAGCAGGGGGGUGCCUAAAAAACAGACCAGGGGCACCUGGGUGGCUCAGUUGGUUAAGCACCUGACUCCUAGUUUCGGCUCACGUCAUGACCUCAGGGUUUGUGAGUUUGAGCCCCAUAUCCAGCUCUUUGCUGGUGUGCAGAGCCUGCUUGGGAUUCUCUCUCUCUCUGCCCCUCCUCCAUUUGCACUUGCACGUGUGCCCAUGCACUCUCGCUCUCUUUUUCUCACUCAAAAUAAAUACUAAACUUAAAAAAAUAAAUAAAUACCAGACCAGCAGGCAGGAAACAAAAAGGGAAAGGCCAUUUGACAGGGAAACCAGAGGAAUUUCACCAUUCAAGGGGCCAAAUGCUGGGGAAUGUGAGUCUCCUGUUUAAAGGCUAUUGGGUUUAGCCUUUAAACAGCUUUUAAACAGGUUUAGAAGCUGUGAUCAGGAAAAAGGCAUAACAAAGUUUUUAAAAAUAAAAAGAAACAUAAAUUUAAAAAAAGGGGGACAGAGCAAGAUGCAGGGAUAUUUUCUAAAAUGAUAAAUCAAAAAAAAAACCCCUGUAUUUUCUAACAAAUUAAUUUGAUUGUGGGUUUUAUACUUCUUGGCUGUUUUGCCACCUGCAUGUAUUAUUAGUUAAGUCCAAAUAUUGAAUGAAGACAAAGUAAAUAAGACACAGUGAGAGCAUUAGAAAGGGACUGGUUCCCGUGAUGGCUUGGCCCCUUGAGUCCUCGUCUUGCGGGGAAGGGAAAGUCAAAUUGUCUGGACAUACAGACGCUAAGGGCCCUCACCCUGUACUGGGCGUGUUUGCCUUUCUCAUAAAUUUGAAGAGGCAUUCCCAAGUAUUUUCAAUGCUGAUGAUAGGAUAACCAUAUAAGUAAGCCUAGUGAGAACCUCCAUCUACAUUCAGGAGCAAUUGCCUCAAUUAUCAUAACUUACCAAACACUUCAUCAAGUGCCAGGCACCAUUCAACCCAGUCUUAUUUAAUCCCCACUAUAAGACCCUAGGAGAAAGGAACCGGGACUUUGCACAUUUGACAAAUAAACCAAAGCACAGGGAUGUAACGUUACCUGCCUGAAGUCACUGAGCUGGGCAACAGGAGAACCAAGAGUGACUCCUCAGCCCAUGCACCUAACUGUCAUGGGGAAACUUCACAACGCAGGCACGUUCUCAGUAAAUAGCUCUAUAUUUUUUCAUUCAAAAGAAAAUGCACGAAUCACAAUUGUUUUUUUCUCUUAAUAUUUCACUUUAUGCAAUUCUAACAACCCAUCUUUAUCUGAGUGACUUCUGAUAUUCGCUUGUAGUCUUGGAAUCUUUUCUGGAAGAGCAUGUUUGGAGGUCCAAGGUAGAAAAAUUAAAAUAAAAUGGUAACUUCAAAACGUUGUACAAAAGUUGCACAAAAUCUCAGUUUUCCGAGAUAGUAAAUACUGAAAAACUUAGCUAUAAAGUCCUAAAAAUGUAAUUGUAGCUUGCUAACACUAUUAAAUAUGUAUACUGUGGUCUUUUUGACAAUUGUAUUAAUCCUUUUACAAAGCCUUCAGAAGUUCCAUCACAGAAGCAUGGAUGCUGUUUUGAUCUAUUUAUUACUCUUAAGUGUUCAGAGAACUGUCCCUAUUUUCUAAUUAACACUUUUAAAGAUAAAAAGCCAUGUAUUAAAUCAAUCUGAAUGAUGGUUGUUUGUGAAUCCCACAAGAUAAGGCAAUUUGCAUGUUCACUUUGUACUUACAAACUAAAUCUGCACAUCUCCAAAGCAGCCCCUUAUAAUGUAAACCUUUUGUGAGUAUUUGUAACUUGAAAGAAAGUUUGGCCUACUACAGAAACAGUGCCAAUUAUCUAAAGGGUUUCGUUACCGAACAUGAUUAAGAUACAAAGAUAUUGGGUUGUUAGUUCAUAUUGUUUGCUAUGGAACUUGAAGAAACGACUUUUAAAACAUCUAGGAUUACAGAUUACUACUACCUUUGUGUGGGGAACGAACACAACUCAUUUCCCCCAACAGUUAACUGCUUUCAAAAGUAACCAGUUGCCACUCAAUUGGGGUAAAAUUCCUUUGAUAUGAAUUAAAUUGCUUGCUGAUGAAAUGCACCUUUCAGCGACCUGUUUGAGUUUCAGCGAAUGCUGGAGCACACUUCGUGACGUGAAUUCCAGGGUUAGUGCUAAAUCACAGUGGUGAUUUGUUAUUGGAUUUUCAGUACUGAUGAGUCAGCGCCGUAAGAUGUUUACCAAAUUAGAAUUUCAAGAACAAUGGCACUGUUCUCAUUAAAUGGAAGCUUUUGUUGCCGAUAUAGGCUAUUAUUUCCACAUGGUUUUGGUGUGGUGUGUUCACACUUGCGGCACUCAUCAGCUAGGGUUUCUUUGCUUUUGCAGUAUCUGUCUUCGUUGGGCUUUACGUGCUCAAUCAACUUUGAAACCGUGUGUCAAAGCCCCAGUUUUCAAAAUUCAGAAAAGGAUCCUUUAUCUUUUCUAAACAGUUCAACCUGUGCUUUCCCCUUUGCCAAAUACCUCAAGAAACCAGAACUAUCGUGUUGGCUAGUGAAACUGGGAUCAGAUUUUUCUCUUUUUUCUCUUUUUUCUAAAAGCCCAUGCCUUACAUCCAUUGACCUCUCUGGAAUGAUUCUGCAAAAGGUAAGAUGUGAAAAUAGCUUUUGAGACCCUGGGUUCUGAGAUGGUCAGAAGGUGAUGCUGAUGUCUCCUGGCAAAAAAGCAGAUGAUUUUUUUUUCACUUCUUUAUUUGGCGAAUAUUUGUUGAGCAUCCAAGGCAUGUCCGGUCCAGUGCCAUUAUAACUGUUAGAGGCGCAUCAGAUAUAAAUGUAAACAUGAAAUCCCUGUUUUCAUGUAGGUUACUUUCUAAAAAAGAAGACAAGCAUAAAACAAAUAACUCAAUAAAUACAUAAAAUAAUGCCCGCUCACAAUUUCUAGAGGUGCUGGAUGUGUCCACUGUCACUGAAGUGCUUCAAACUUCAGCAAAAGUGAGUGAAAGAAGGCUUGCUUAUCCCAAGACCAAUUUCGAACUUAUUUUAACAAGAAAAAGCUUCAUACAUCUUUAAUACAACUGCUUCUUAGGAGACCAUGUGCAGUCUUCAUAUUUUAGGUUCCAUUAUAAAUUUUACCUAAUUGUAGCACUUUCCAGCACUUUAUAUUCUGAGUCCAAAUUGAAAUGAUCACAGGGUGUGUCAUUGCUGACCAUUCUGGGUCAUGUUUAGUUGUGAUUGAGCCCAUAGAAAGAGCAACUAGACCAUCUUUUUUAGGUCUUGUUCGUCACUAUUAGUAGAUGAUUAACAAAAUCAUACUUUUUUUUUCUCUAUUAUGUCAUGAUUACAAUGAGACUAAGUGUGGACAAAUAAACCAUAUUAGGAACUCAAACGCUAAAGCAACAGAUCUCGGCAUUUGGCUUGUGUUCCCACCGCAAAACACGUGGUAAAAGAUGUUCACACAUGGGGCAGAGUUUCAGGGACAUUUAAGGAUUUGUGCAAUCCCCACAACUCUAGCUAAAUCACUCAAGACUGCAAAUGGGAGGGGCACCUGAGUGGCUCAGUCGGUUAAGAGUCCGACUCUUAGUUUCACCUCAGGUCAUGCUCUCACGGUGUGUGAGUUCAAGCCCCGCAUCAGGCUCCGUGCUCACAGUGCAGAGCUUGCUUGGGAUUCUCUCUCUCUCCCUCUCUCUCUGCACCUCCCCCACUCACUCUCUCUGUCUCUCUCAAAAGUAAAUAAAUAAAAGUUUUUUUAAAAAUUAAAAAAAAAAAGACUGCAAAUGGGAAUAUGAGUGAGAAAGCAAUUAUUGUAGGAGUAACUUUGGAUCUUCUGCUCUAAUUUAUUUUUAAGUAAAUCGAUUGAAAACAAUUACUUAUCACAAAUUACACGUGAACCACCUCCCAAGGAAUCACAACAAGCACAUAUGCACCGCAAGAGUGUAUUUAGAACCGCUGACCCAGAUAAACGAAAUUCUUCUAAAGUUGGAUAAUCAUAGGUGCUCUGAAUUUUUAGAAACUCAUUAUAUAGCUAAAUACCAAUCACCAAAGCCAACCAGUGCCAUAAUUUAAGCACUUAAUUGGCUUUAUUCCUGUAUACUUUUCUCCUACUUGGCUUUCUUUCUCUCUUCCGUCCGAAAGAUUUGAUGAUAGAGGGGGUGGGGUAGCUGGUUAGCUCUCCCUAAAGCAGGUAUUUCCCCUUCCCUGCAGUCUCUGUGUCUCUCAGACCACCACUGACAAGUGUUGAUAUGUGGAAGUAGUCGCCUCAGGUCGACUGUUCCUGCAGCCAAGCUGGGAGCAGUCACUUCGCUGGAAAGCUCUGUGGUCCCUGCCAGCAUCUCUGGUCCACAGAUGUCUCAGGAUGCAACCCCGCCCUUCCUUGGUUGCAGCAGUGGG
This 19096-nucleotide long non-coding RNA is filed under the name Lynx pardinus (Iberian lynx). The record is from RNAcentral. Lineage: Eukaryota; Metazoa; Chordata; Mammalia; Carnivora; Felidae.